This 496-nucleotide ribosomal RNA is filed under the name uncultured bacterium. RNAcentral's name for it is "partial 16S ribosomal RNA". It matches the Rfam family "Bacterial small subunit ribosomal RNA", at positions 29 to 507 of the family's 1533-position model. The record is from RNAcentral.
GUGAACGCUGGCGGCGUGCCUCAUCCCUGCCAGUCGAGCGAACAGACGAGGAGCUUGCUCCUCUGACGUUAGCGGCGGACGGGUGAGUAACACGUGGAUAACCUACCUAUAAGACUGGGAUAACUUCGGGAAACCGGAGCUAAUACCGGAUAAUAUAUUGAACCGCAUGGUUCAAUAGUGAAAGACGGUUUUGCUGUCACUUAUAGAUGGAUCCGCGCCGCAUUAGCUAGUUGGUAAGGUAACGGCUUACCAAGGCAACGAUGCGUAGCCGACCUGAGAGGGUGAUCGGCCACACUGGAACUGAGACACGGUCCAGACUCCUACGGGAGGCAGCAGUAGGGAAUCUUCCGCAAUGGGCGAAAGCCUGACGGAGCAACGCCGCGUGAGUGAUGAAGGUCUUCGGAUCGUAAAACUCUGUUAUUAGGGAAGAACAAAUGUGUAAGUAACUAUGCACGUCUUGACGGUACCUAAUCAGAAAGCCACGGCUAACUACGUG